Molecule: ribosomal RNA, 306 nt
Filed under: uncultured bacterium
Lineage: Bacteria
Description: bacterial SSU rRNA
Rfam family: Bacterial small subunit ribosomal RNA
Source: RNAcentral
ACUCAAUAGAUACCCGGGUAGUCCACGCCCUAAACGAUGUCUACUAGUUGUCGGGUCUUAAUUGACUUGGUAAACGCAGCUAAACGCGUGAAGUAGACCGCCUGGGGAGUACGGUCGCAAGAUUAAAACUCAAAGGAAUUGACGGGGACCCGCACAAGCGGUGGAUGAUGUGGAUUAAUUCGAUGCAACGCGAAAAACCUUACUACCCUUGACAUGGAUGGAAUCCCUGAGAGAUCGGGGAGUGCUCGAAAGAGAACCAUUACACAGGUGCUGCAUGGCUGUCGUCAGCUCGUGUCGUGAGAUGUU